Molecule: ribosomal RNA, 538 nt
Filed under: Bifidobacterium dentium
Lineage: Bacteria; Bacillati; Actinomycetota; Actinomycetes; Bifidobacteriales; Bifidobacteriaceae
Description: bacterial SSU rRNA
Rfam family: Bacterial small subunit ribosomal RNA
Source: RNAcentral
GGUGGUAAUGCCGGAUGCUCCGGUUGGAUGCAUGUCCUUCCGGGAAAGAUUCUAUCGGUAUGGGAUGGGGUCGCGUCCUAUCAGCUUGAUGGCGGGGUAACGGCCCACCAUGGCUUCGACGGGUAGCCGGCCUGAGAGGGCGACCGGCCACAUUGGGACUGAGAUACGGCCCAGACUCCUACGGGAGGCAGCAGUGGGGAAUAUUGCACAAUGGGCGCAAGCCUGAUGCAGCGACGCCGCGUGCGGGAUGGAGGCCUUCGGGUUGUAAACCGCUUUUGAUCGGGAGCAAGCCCUUCGGGGUGAGUGUACCUUUCGAAUAAGCACCGGCUAACUACGUGCCAGCAGCCGCGGUAAUACGUAGGGUGCAAGCGUUAUCCGGAAUUAUUGGGCGUAAAGGGCUCGUAGGCGGUUCGUCGCGUCCGGUGUGAAAGCCCAUCGCUUAACGGUGGGUCUGCGCCGGGUACGGGCGGGCUGGAGUGCGGUAGGGGAGACUGGAAUUCCCGGUGUAACGGUGGAAUGUGUAGAUAUCGGAAAGAAC